This 237-nucleotide ribosomal RNA is filed under the name uncultured bacterium. RNAcentral's name for it is "partial 16S ribosomal RNA". It matches the Rfam family "Bacterial small subunit ribosomal RNA", at positions 96 to 334 of the family's 1533-position model. The record is from RNAcentral.
UGGCGAACGGGUGAGUAACGCGUAUGCAACCUGCCUGAUACCGGGGUAUAGCCCAUGGAAACGUGGAUUAACACCCCAUAGUACUUUUAUCCUGCAUGGGAUGUGAGUUAAAUGUUCAAGGUAUCGGAUGGGCAUGCGUCCUAUUAGUUAGUUGGCGGGGUAACAGCCCACCAAGACGAUGAUAGGUAGGGGUUCUGAGAGGAAGGUCCCCCACAUUGGAACUGAGACACGGUCCAA